This 566-nucleotide ribosomal RNA is filed under the name uncultured bacterium. RNAcentral's name for it is "bacterial SSU rRNA". It matches the Rfam family "Bacterial small subunit ribosomal RNA", at positions 97 to 677 of the family's 1533-position model. The record is from RNAcentral.
GGCGGACGGGUGAGUAACGCGUAAGGAACUUGCCUCUUGGUCUGGGACAACUGUUGGAAACGACAGCUAAUACCGGAUAUUAUGAGAUUCUCGCAUGGGAAACUUAUGAAAGCUAUAUGCGCCAAGAGAGAGCCUUGCGUUCCAUUAGCUAGUUGGUGGGGUAACGGCCCACCAAGGCGACGAUGGAUAGCCGGCCUGAGAGGGUGAACGGCCACAAGGGGACUGAGACACGGCCCUUACUCCUACGGGAGGCAGCAGUGGGGAAUAUUGGACAAUGGACCAAAAGUCUGAUCCAGCAAUUCUGUGUGCACGAUGAAGGUCUUCGGAUUGUAAAGUGCUUUCAGUUGGGAAGAAGCAAGUGACGGUACCAACAGAAGAAGCGACGGCUAAAUACGUGCCAGCAGCCGCGGUAAUACGUAUGUCGCAAGCGUUAUCCGGAUUUAUUGGGCGUAAAGCGCGUCUAGGCGGAAAAAUAAGUCUGAUGUUAAAAUGCGGGGCUCAACUCCGUAUUGCGUUGGAAACUGUUUUUCUAGAGUACUGGAGAGGUGGGCGGAACUACAAGUGUA